CAGUAUGAUGCUGCUCAUGGUCAUUGCUGCUGUGGAUAAUUUUAAAGAUAUAAUGAACUCCUGGCUGUGUGGCUUCCAGUUUCAGCUGCGCUUCUGCUGUUAUUGAUUCUGAUUGUUGUUUUCAUCUGGAGAUGGAGACAGAGACCCAAGCAAGAUGAACACCAAAUCGGAGAGAUAAACAGCAGCACAACCAUUGACACAAUCUACUCUAAACCUGAAGAUCCUGUGAUAUACAGCACUAUAAAUGAUGAAAGCCCUAAUGAUCCCAACAAGAACAUAACCUACAGUACUAUUGAUCAUGUUCCUGAGAGUGAAGAAAAGCCUCCAGCAGGUGGAACAAUAUACAGCAUAACAUACAGUACUGUGGGUCCACACUGACAGCAACAGUGAGAAAAGCACAAGAACAGAACCUUCUGACCAACAUAAACAAAAUCAAUAACAGAGGAU
This is a long non-coding RNA of Sinocyclocheilus rhinocerous, 447 nucleotides long. RefSeq lists it as uncharacterized. The record is from RefSeq and is a predicted model, not a curated record. NCBI's taxonomy places the organism in Eukaryota, Metazoa, Chordata, Actinopteri, Cypriniformes, Cyprinidae. The transcript has 6 exons.